CCUCCUCCUGCUCUUCCCCCUCCCCAAACUCCCCCCCUCCGCCUGGCUCUCCGCGCAGCCGUGGGAUCUCGGAGGAGGGCGUCCAUUAGGCCGCGUGUGACCAUGUAAGGCUGCCAGGGCGCAGGAAGAGGCGCCCGAGGAGGAAGUGGCACACAAUGGAACCGAACAAAGGGGAGCGGCGCGGAGACAACGACCGGCGCCCGCCCCCCGCACGCAGUCCCCGCCCCGGUGCGCGCCGCCAGCCGUCCUCCCCUCGCUGGGACCCCACGCGGGGUCCGCGUCGGGAGGCCGACGCCCAGUUAGCGUCGAUCGAAAGGGGACAUUUCGCGGGAGUGGGAGUCAGAAUGGAAGGCGCCCGGACCGACGCGGGGCGCAGGCAGCUUCCGUGUCUCCCCAUGUGGCUUAGGGAGAGAGGUGUCUAGCGAGCUGCGGUGGUGAAGAGUCGGAACCGGAUCCGGCUCUGGAACUGGCACGUAGAACUAUCCAGAGAUACUCCUCUCUUAGAUGCAAACCCUGCACACGCACGUUUCUAGGGUCGACCAGUUGUUUGCUUGACCUUCCGUGGUCAGUGUGAUUCACGUUUCCCUGAAAUGUACCAUGAGCCAAGCCUACACCUUUGGAACGACUGCAGAAUUCGGUACUUCUUCAGAUGAGAAACUUAAUUUUACUCCUAAGAAAAGAAACCCAUCCACCUUAGUCGCCCUUCUCAGCCUUCUCUCCUUCUGACUCUGUGGGACUCCAUAUCAUAAUAUUUGUAAGAUUCUGCUUUAUAGAACGAGCAUAAUUUGAAAUUUAGUUCUUGCCAGGGGAAAUGAAACAAAUUACUGGGCUUGAGGAAAGUCUAAUUUAUUCGCUUUGUGAUGUCUGGAGUUCUGUUGGUUAGACCUACAGCAUCCGUUGUAGGAGAAUAAUUGGCAGAGUUACUGGAGUGUAUAUAAGACGUGCAAGGAUCUUAGUGCAUUUAGUAUGAGGUAUAUACACAUUAGUAGUGCUAGGGGAAUGAUGGUACAGAAAGGUUAAGCGGCUACAUGAAUAGGAUGAUAUCAUGAUAGCACACAUAUGUGUUAGCACAGGGCGUACUUCUCAUGAAGGCCUCUCUUUGAAAGGCCAGAUGGGCCUUUCCCAGAAGUAGAAAACCACUUAGAGCCAUCACAUCCCAGUUAAUGCGUUAACUUGAUCCUUAUGGUCACUGGUGCUGCUGCUUACUGGCCCUGUGACUGAGCUUCCUAGCUCGGACCCUCUGAUUACCCAUCUCAGAAAUAGAAAUAAUGGUAUCUGCCUCGCCUGGAUGUUGGGAAGAAUCAAAGUAAGGUUUGCAACUCACCUAGCAUAGUAUCUGGUGCUAUUAGGUAGAUGCUAAAUGUUAACCGUCAUUAUCUCCUGGCUUUGGCUAAGUAGACCAAAUAAGAUAUCUGAACUAAUGAGACCCAUGGAGGGGUGGUGGGAAGGGACAUACCAAAGUCUUAGAGACUAAGAGGAGCGGUAUAAGCCCCUUGCCAAUUUGUAAUAAGUAUUACGAAUGUAAUGUUCCUAUUGUGUGGGGGGAUGGGGAAGAGACCAUUGAAAAGCCCUGAGGCAGAAAACAAGUUCUCCAGUAAAUAGGGGAAGGAAAAGAACUUAGACCCAGGGAAACUCAAGAAGCCAAAGGCAAGGCAAGGCCAAAGCAUGUAAUUUGAUGUCUGAACUCAAGUGAACUUCAUUUCUGUUUUGUGCAUUACCCUCUUGCCAUUUUUGAACAAAAUAUGACAUUCUUGUUAACCUGUGAGUUCAAAGAUUAUACAGAUAAUAGUUAACUAGUUAAACACUUUCAGUAUGCCAGGCUGUAUGGGCACACAAACGAUUUUUAUAUGCAGCUCUUCAUUUCAUCCUCACGACAACCUGACGGAAGUAUUUUUGUAUCUCCAACUUUAUAGAUGAAAAUACACAGGCUUAGAAAUAGUUGGUCAAGGUCACACAACUGAGAAGGAACUGAGCAGAGGUUCAAAUCCAGGAGCAUCUGACUUUCAAGACUUUGCUUUGCCUAGGGGUCUGUGUGCAGUGAAAGACUUAAGUUUCUUGUUUUAAGUCAAGAUGUGUUUACAAAAAUGCUUCAGUGUGGAGAAGGGGGGCUUCCUUUGAGGUUUUUCUCCUUGUAAAUAUCAACCAUACAACUUACAGAACUCAACCAAAAUCUCACAGUGUCAGUCUGAAAGACCUCAUUAUGACUCUCUUCAAAGCUUUAUGGAACAUUUUAGAAUUCAUUCUAAGAGAUUUGUGCCACAAGGCACUCCUAAAGUCACAUUUCAAAAAGCUACUUUUUAUAGCCUAGAGACCCUAGUUUCACAUUGCAAAACGCAUACAAAGAAUCUGAAUGUACAGAAUAAUCAACAAAUUAAGAUCACAAGGGAACUUUGGCGGUCAAACAAACCAAAAAUAAACAUCACCACUUUAAGCACCAUAUAUUGAAUGCCCUCUCUGGAUCAGGCAUUUUAGACAUGUUCUCAUCCGAUCUUCACCACGAUCUUGUGAGGGAGCUGUCCCUGCUCCAUUUUCACAGAUGAAGGUAUGCAAAUUCAGAGGGUACAUAAUUUGCCCAUUACCAUAUGUCUGUUAGGUGGUACAAACCAAUUCAAAUAUAGGUCUGAUUCCAAGAUGACUCCAGAGUCUGUGACCUCUACACACGUUGCCUUAGGAGACACUGAUACUACUGUGAAUGAUAUCACCCUUUGAAAGUUAUCCCGUAGGAAACACCUAAGAGUAAAUAAUGUUUGCCUCCCCCACCCCACAAAACUAAGAAUUGAGGACGUUUUAUGAACAACAUAGUAAAAAUCUGAUAUGUAAAUAGACGCAACCGAGACAUCAGACUGUUUCUACUAGAAAAGUCUUGUUCAUUAGUAUAGGAAGUCCUUAUUAGCCAUGUGUGAUUAGCGCUGGUAAAGCCUCCUAAAAAUAAAUCUACUUAAAGCAGGGGCCAAAUCUCAGAGCAGCUGGUGAAAAGUAGACUUCACCUGAAAAUAAAACUCGACGUUAUUAGAAUACGUUUAUCUUUUAUUGAACAAAAUUUAUGUUGUAAGUACCACUAUGCUAAUUUUAGAAUGAAUAAACAAUAAAUCAAGAUUA
Long non-coding RNA from Herpailurus yagouaroundi (jaguarundi), 3099 nucleotides. RefSeq lists it as uncharacterized. NCBI's taxonomy places the organism in Eukaryota, Metazoa, Chordata, Mammalia, Carnivora, Felidae. The record is from RefSeq and is a predicted model, not a curated record. The transcript is spliced from 2 exons.